CUCCUGUUUGAAUCACUUACGAGCAAACUUGCUGCCUGAACAUCAACCAGCAAGAUGAAUAAUUUGCCCGUCGCCUUGCUGUCAGCUCUGCUGCUGGCUUUUUGCAUCUCAUCCCAGAUUAUCCAGGCAAACGCCGCCAACGGGACCACCAUCAAACCCCCUGUCACAACCAACACCGCCAGCAUGAGUGGAAUGACCACCGCCGUCCCGCUGCUCCUGCUCCCUUUGACUUUAGCGGCUGUCCUCCUUCACGACUGGUCCCGGGGUUGGGACUAACUUCACCCGUACUGUGGACCCAGAUGGACAGCGGAUGCAAAAGUCUACCGCCUCAAGAUGAAGUUCCCUAAAGAACUUUUUUUUUCAUCCGUUUUACGCACCAAAGCAGGACUCGCCCUUUUCUUCUCUGGACGUCCUGAUCCUUUCUGGGUGUCUUAUGAGCUAUAAAUCAGGAAGAAUACUAAAUCUGUGUAGAAAUGUUUGUGGGUGUGGGAGAAAAUGUAUCUAUUAAGAGGAUUUUAAAAUGAAAGUAGUUCUGAUCAACUUCAUUGCAAAUAUUUGUAUCUAUUUAAGUGCUGUGAAACUUGAAGUAAAUAAAGGUGUAAAAUGUC
Long non-coding RNA from Xiphophorus maculatus (southern platyfish), 608 nucleotides. RefSeq lists it as uncharacterized. The transcript has 2 exons. The record is from RefSeq and is a predicted model, not a curated record. Lineage: Eukaryota; Metazoa; Chordata; Actinopteri; Cyprinodontiformes; Poeciliidae.